AUCCUUUUCCAUUUUAUAAGAAUGAUGAUUGGGUGCUCACAUGUUUGUGUGACAUGGUCCUCCUUCAAUCUUAUUACACACUUGACACAUUCCCAUCUGAUG
Molecule: small nucleolar RNA, 102 nt
Organism: Sorex fumeus (smoky shrew)
Lineage: Eukaryota; Metazoa; Chordata; Mammalia; Eulipotyphla; Soricidae
Product: small nucleolar RNA U13
Exons: 1
Source: RefSeq, a predicted model, not a curated record